UACGGGGGGGGCAAGCGUUGUUCGGAAUUACUGGGCGUAAAGGGCUCGUAGGCGGCCAACUAAGUCAGACGUGAAAUCCCUCGGCUUAACCGGGGAACUGCGUCUGAUACUGGAUGGCUUGAAUCCGGGAGAGGGAUGCGGAAUUCCAGGUGUAGCGGUGAAAUGCGUAGAUAUUCGCAAGAACACCAGUGGCGAAGGCGGCCAACUGGACCAAUACUGACGCUGAGGCGCGAAAGCGUGGGGAGCAAACAGG
This 253-nucleotide ribosomal RNA is filed under the name uncultured bacterium. Its description in RNAcentral is "partial 16S ribosomal RNA". It matches the Rfam family "Bacterial small subunit ribosomal RNA", at positions 524 to 776 of the family's 1533-position model. The record is from RNAcentral.